CAGUCGCCGCGGGAACACGUAGGGUGCGAGCGUUAAUCGGAAUUACUGGGCGUAAAGCGUGCGCAGGCGGUUCGUUAAGACAGAUGUGAAAUCCCCGGGCUUAACCUGGGAACUGCAUUUGUGACUGGAUGACUAGAGUACGGCAGAGGGGGAUGGAAUUCCGCGUGUAGCAGUGAAAUGCGUAGAUAUGCGGAGGAACACCGAUGGCGAAGGCAAUCCCCUGGGCCUGUACUGACGCUCAUGCACGAAAGCGUGGGGAGCAAACAGGAUUAGAUACCCCAGUAGUCCCUGUCUCUUAUAC
RNAcentral lists this ribosomal RNA (301 nucleotides) under uncultured bacterium. Its description in RNAcentral is "partial 16S ribosomal RNA". It matches the Rfam family "Bacterial small subunit ribosomal RNA", at positions 509 to 807 of the family's 1533-position model. The record is from RNAcentral.